Molecule: ribosomal RNA, 515 nt
Filed under: uncultured Alphaproteobacteria bacterium
Lineage: Bacteria; Pseudomonadati; Pseudomonadota; Alphaproteobacteria
Description: bacterial SSU rRNA
Rfam family: Bacterial small subunit ribosomal RNA
Source: RNAcentral
CUUAGACAAUGGGCGCAAGCCUGAUCUAGCCAUGCCGCGUGUGUGAUGAAGGCCCUAGGGUCGUAAAGCACUUUCGCCAGGGAUGAUAAUGACAGUACCUGGUAAAGAAACCCCGGCUAACUCCGUGCCAGCAGCCGCGGUAAUACGGAGGGGGUUGGCGUUGUUAGGAAUUACUGGGCGUAAAGCGUACGUAGGCGGAUUAGUCAGUCAGAGGUGAAAUCCCAGGGCUCAACCCUGGAACUGCCUCUGAUACUGCUAGUCUUGAGUUCGAGAGAGGUGAGUGGAAUUCCAAGUGUAGAGGUGAAAUUCGUAGAUAUUUGGAGGAACACCAGUGGCGAAGGCGGCUCACUGGCUCGAUACUGACGCUGAGGUACGAGAGUGUGGGGAGCAAACAGGAUUAGAUACCCUGGUAGUCCACACCGUAAACGAUGAAUACCAGUCGUCGGGCAGUAUACUGUUCGGUGACACACCUAACGGAUUAAGCAUUCCGCCUGGGGAGUACGGUCGCAAGAUUA